CGAAUGCUGACGUGAGUAACGACAAAACGGGUGAAAAACCCGUUCGCCGAAAGACCAAGGGUUCCAGUCCAACGUUAAUCGGGGCUGGGUGAGUCGACCCCUAAGGCGAGGCCGAAAGGCGUAGUCGAUGGGAAAAUGGUUAAUAUUCCAUUACUUCUGUGUAAUGCGAUGAGAGGACGGAGAAGGCUAAAUCAGCCUGGCGUUGGUUGUCCAGGUGAAAGGAUGUAGGCAUGUAUCUUAGGCAAAUCCGGGGUACUCUAUGCUGAGAUCUGAUAGCAAGCUGUACUUGUACAGCGAAGUGGUUGAUGCCAUGCUUCCAGGAAAAGUCUCUAAGCUUCAGUUACACAGGAAUCGUACCCGAAACCGACACAGGUGGUCAGGUCGAGUAGACCAAGGCGCUUGAGAGAACUCUGCUGAAGGAACUAGGCAAAAUGGUACCGUAACUUCGGGAGAAGGUACGCUGUUGUUGGUGAUGGAACUCGCUUCCUGAGCUGACGACAGCCGCAGAAACCAGGCCGCUGCAACUGUUUAUUAAAAACAUAGCACUCUGCAAACACGAAAGUGGACGUAUAGGGUGUGAUGCCUGCCCGGUG
RNAcentral lists this ribosomal RNA (593 nucleotides) under Acinetobacter baumannii. RNAcentral's name for it is "partial 23S ribosomal RNA". It matches the Rfam family "Bacterial large subunit ribosomal RNA", at positions 1291 to 1868 of the family's 2925-position model. Lineage: Bacteria; Pseudomonadati; Pseudomonadota; Gammaproteobacteria; Moraxellales; Moraxellaceae. The record is from RNAcentral.